GGACAAUGACAGCCAAACUUACUUAUAUACACUCUUUUCUAAAGUCGAAUUGAGUUUGAGAAUUUACUUUUCCCCACUGAAGGUUAUGCAUUUUGCUUAAACUUGUCGAUCUUCGUUUCUGUUACAGACAGCAUGUAUCGCUAUCCGCCAUUACUUCAGAUGAAGGCUAGCGAUUUCAUUGGUUGAUUAAAAGAAUAAAGUAUUUUACCUUAAUUUUUGUAGAAAUUGUUAUAGAAAUGUUUUAUUUUACGAUUAAUGUUAGAAAAUGUAAAAGUUUAUAUUUUAAUAACUUUGUAUUCUUUGUCGAUUCAACUUGUUAAAGAAUGGAGCUUUUUGAUUGGCUAUUGGUUACUGUGCACCGUGCAAGAUGGGGCACUUAAGGGUAUCGUGCAUGCCCCUGUGCGGUACAUUUGCACUGUCGUGCAGUGGCGGGUAUUAUAUAACCUUUCGAAAACGCUGCACUGACGUCACUUUCACGCCAUUUUAUUAGGGAUUGAACCGCUGCCAAAAUUUUAAUAGAAAGUAAGGCCAA
RNAcentral lists this long non-coding RNA (532 nucleotides) under Mytilus galloprovincialis (Mediterranean mussel). Lineage: Eukaryota; Metazoa; Mollusca; Bivalvia; Mytilida; Mytilidae. The record is from RNAcentral.